CAGUAGCCGCGGGAAUACGUAGGGUGCGAGCGUUAAUCGGAAUUACUGGGCGUAAAGCGUGCGCAGGCGGUUGUGUAAGACGGGUGUGAAAUCCCCGGGCUUAACCUGGGAACUGCGCUUGUGACUGCACAGCUAGAGUAUGGCAGAGGGGGGUGGAAUUCCACGUGUAGCAGUGAAAUGCGUAGAGAUGUGGAGGAACACCGAUGGCGAAGGCAGCCCCCUGGGCCAAUACUGACGCUCAUGCACGAAAGCGUGGGGAGCAAACAGGAUUAGAUACCCCCGUAGUCCCUGUCUCUUAUAC
This 301-nucleotide ribosomal RNA is filed under the name uncultured bacterium. RNAcentral's name for it is "partial 16S ribosomal RNA". It matches the Rfam family "Bacterial small subunit ribosomal RNA", at positions 509 to 807 of the family's 1533-position model. The record is from RNAcentral.